This 1317-nucleotide ribosomal RNA is filed under the name uncultured bacterium. RNAcentral's name for it is "bacterial SSU rRNA". It matches the Rfam family "Bacterial small subunit ribosomal RNA", at positions 60 to 1353 of the family's 1533-position model. The record is from RNAcentral.
AGUCGAGCGAACAGACGAGGAGCUUGCUCCUUUGACGUUAGCGGCGGACGGGUGAGUAACACGUGGGUAACCUACCUAUAAGACUGGGAUAACUUCGGGAAACCGGAGCUAAUACCGGAUAAUAUUUCGAACCGCAUGGUUCGAUAGUGAAAGAUGGCUCUGCUCUCACUUAUAGAUGGACCUGCGCCGUAUUAGCUAGUUGGUAAGGUAACGGCUUACCAAGGCAACGAUACGUAGCCGACCUGAGAGGGUGAUCGGCCACACUGGAACUGAGACACGGUCCAGACUCCUACGGGAGGCAGCAGUAGGGAAUCUUCCGCAAUGGGCGAAAGCCUGACGGAGCAACGCCGCGUGAGUGAUGAAGGUCUUCGGAUCGUAAAACUCUGUUAUUAGGGAAGAACAAACGUGUAAGUAACUGUGCACGUCUUGACGGUACUUAAUCAGAAAGCCACGGCUAACUACGUGCCAGCAGCCGCGGUAAUACGUAGGUGGCAAGCGUUAUCCGGAAUUAUUGGGCGUAAAGCGCGCGUAGGCGGUUUUUUAAGUCUGAUGUGAAAGCCCACGGCUCAACCGUGGAGGGUCAUUGGAAACUGGAAAACUUGAGUGCAGAAGAGGAAAGUGGAAUUCCAUGUGUAGCGGUGAAAUGCGCAGAGAUAUGGAGGAACACCAGUGGCGAAGGCGACUUUCUGGUCUGUAACUGACGCUGAUGUGCGAAAGCGUGGGGAUCAAACAGGAUUAGAUACCCUGGUAGUCCACGCCGUAAACGAUGAGUGCUAAGUGUUAAGGGGGUUUCCGCCCCUUAGUGCUGCAGCUAACGCAUUAAGCACUCCGCCUGGGGAGUACGACCGCAAGGUUGAAACUCAAAGGAAUUGACGGGGACCCGCACAAGCGGUGGAGCAUGGUGGUUUAAUUCGAAGCAACGCGAAGAACCUUACCAAAUCUUGACAUCCUUUGACCCUUCUAGGAAGAUAGAAGUUUCCCCUUUCGGGGGACAAAGUGACAGGUGGUGCAUGGUUGUCGUCAGCUCGUGUCGUGAGAUGUUGGGUUAAGUCCCGCAACGAGCGCAACCCUUAAGCUUAGUUGCCAUCAUUAAGUUGGGCACUCUAGGUUGACUGCCGGUGACAAACCGGAGGAAGGUGGGGAUGACGUCAAAUCAUCAUGCCCCUUAUGACCUGGGCUACACACGUGCUACAAUGGUCGGUACAACGAGUCGCUAACCUGCGAGGGCAAGCUAAUCUCUUAAAGCCGAUCUCAGUUCGGACUGUAGGCUGCAACUCGCCUACACGAAGUCGGAAUCGCUAGUAAUCGCGGAUCAGC